CUAGUACAAGACCAUUGGGGUCCCAGUAAAAGGAGGUAGCUGCCAUUCUUUUUAGCAGCCCCACUGGCUUGAUGCUAGUGCCCCAUUCAUUUUUUAAAAGAAGAUUGUGGGUAGGAUAAUGUGAUCUUGCAAUGAUUUACAGAACAAUGAUGUUAUGCUUUUAAAAAUACUAAUAAUUAUAAUGUUGCAAUCCUAUUUAAUGCCAAAAUGACAACUGGUAGUGUUUGGGAAUAUUUGUAUGAAAACAAUGACAUUUCAUAGUUAAAACUUGGCAUCAGCAAACUUUGAGGAACAAAAAGACUUGGAUUUAAAUGUAAAUCAGCCUUUUAUGAAGUUUACCCUUUGGUUGUACACCAAUCCGUAAAGCUUUCAGUAUUGAUCUAAGAGUUGUCAUCAUGAAGAUUUAUUUUUCAAUCUCUUUCUAACAGAGGCAGAACCUAUUCCCAGGGCCUGACCCAGACCUAGCUGGUGCUGAACUGUCUGGAUGAUGGGGAGAACCUCUAUCAAUACAUCCCAGGAAGUAGAGAACAGAAGUAGACAUAAGAGAGCACAUAUGUAGAAGGUAAUGGAAGUGGAUUUAAAAACCUCAGCAAAAUGUACAAAGCAUGGGAUCUGCCUUUGGGUCUACUCACAGUCUGCAGUCUGCAUGGAACUUACAAUUCCAGCCACUGUGUCCAAGGUCCAGGCAUCAAGAAGGAGGGGGCAAAGGGAAAGGAGAACCUUUACAGAGGAACUGGCUGUCACUGAAGCCCUUGCAAUUGACUGUGGUCUCAGAUGGGGCAAACUUCUCGUGAACUGGUGAGCUGAGGCUGAACCUCACUAACCAACAGGUCUUGCUAAGCAUGUGGUACAUGCUGUGCUUGGUUGUUUGGCAACAAAACCCCCCAUAGGAUGUGCAUUUUAGGUAACAUAUGAAACAAGAAUUGUUAGGAGUUGCCUGCUCCUCCCAGUUACUCAGGAAUCCAUACUGUCAGAAGCUCACCAUCAUAUAACUGAAUGUCCUGGAACAUGUGACCUUCAAGACUUCCAGAGAAAGGAAGAAAAAGAUGAAUGAGGACACUGGCUUUCAACCCUCAGUACACAAAUAAUAUGUCACUUCUGAUCACAGUCCAUUGGUCUAAACAAGUCACAUGACUCCAGGGUCCUGUAAGGAAGGUUGGAUAAUGCAGGACACUUGAAAUAUUUGAGAAGUAUUAACAGUUUCUGCUACAAGUGAGGAGUGAAUAUAAAGGUAGAUAUAGUCCCUACCCUCAAUUUCUGUUCAAAAUAAUGAUACAAAACACAUGGUACUACAUAUUCUUGCAGAGAUACAGAUAAACUGCUGAAGAAGUUAAGGUUCUGGAGAGAUUGGCAAGGUUGGGUCCUGGACAGGAUAUUGGCGAACAUGGCAUUACAAGGGGAGGGGAGCUGAAGAACUGAUAGGCUUUGAUAGAUUUAUUUUUGAACAAAGAUAUGUUGGUAGAAAACCAACAAAAAUAAUAAUUAGUUUGCUUGAAGGUAGACUAUGUAAUAAACAAUAAUACUAAUGACAGCAACAAUGAGUGAUAUUUAAUGGAGCACCAAAUAUAUACCAGACCCAGGUCUAAGUCUUCAUAUAUAUUCACUCAGUUAAUCAUUUCAAUAGUCUUUGGUCAAAGGUGAAGCUCAAAGAAAUUCAGUAAUUUGCUUAGGACCACACUAGUAAAUGGCAGAGCCAGGGUUCUCUCUCUAGGGUUCACUCAUUGAAGGAGCAGAUAAGGGCUAGAUUUCAGAAGGUCAUGAAUACCAGGCUAAUGUGCCUGAGUAUUUACUCUGAAGGCAAAGGUACAACUGAAAAUUUCAAAGCAGGAAUUGCAUGAUAAUAUUGAUAAUUAAAUCAUAAAUGGUAUAGCAUGGGGACCUGGGAGAAAUGAAGAAAUGGAGCUGGUCUUCAGUGAUGCAGAGGCUAUGGCCAAUCAAAGAGAAAUAAAGAAUGUUCCAGGCAAGGACAGGCUCACUGGGGGUGUAGAAGUAGGAAUGAAUAUGGUGUGGAACAAGAUAAUGAGAUUUUUCUGACUGGUACAGGUUUAUGGUGUGGAACAAGCUAGUGAGAUUUUUCUGACCGGUACAGGUUUCAUAGUGCGAGUGGAGAUGGGACAAGCGUUAUGGUGAGGGAUCCUAAAGUCAGACCAGGGAGUGCGGUUCAAUUUAGUAGGAAGGGAAGAAACAUCGGUGCUUUGAAGACACAGUAGGAAUGAAUUAAGUGUUGCCUCUUCAUGUCUUUCGCUGUCCUCAGUCUUACUCUAGUCAUGGGCCCAACAUUCCUGGACUUUCAAAGCCUGGGGCGAUUUUUAAAGGCUCCUUGUUGUUCUUUCAAAAGAGUUCCUCUUCUCUACAAGCAAUAAAAUAGUUGAAGUCAGGUUGUUAUUUUCUUUUUUCUAUGAGCCAUUACAAAGGUGUGAAAUAGUAGACACUUACGCAUCUGUGAAUAAGAUUGUGGGCUAAAACGUGUGAGUUCCCAUCUCAGCUAAUGAACCAGAAUAUGGUUUUAAUUUCUGAACUGCUAAAAUGUUCUGCCUUUUUUGGUCAUUCCUACAGAAGACUUCAUAUUUUAAUAAUUCAGUGUAGCCUAAUUACUUUAAUUAAUCACCUUCUUUUCAGAGAUGUCAGUGGGCUUUGUUAUUUUUGUGUUACUGUAGGUACUAUUGGGAGUUUUAAGGAAUUUUAAAAAUAUAUAUGUAAUAACCCAGGUUAACUCUUUAAUAGGGUCUGAAAUGUGUAUCCUAUUCCUCAGAGUGAUUUGUCCUUUGCAGAUGCCUACUAGUCAUGCCCAUAAACUCCUGCCACUUCCAUCACAUUCCCUCCCUAAGGCCAGUUAACCAAACCAUCUCGGACCAUUCUGUGCCUAAAACAUUGCUGUCUGGAG
Molecule: long non-coding RNA, 2884 nt
Filed under: Heterocephalus glaber (naked mole-rat)
Lineage: Eukaryota; Metazoa; Chordata; Mammalia; Rodentia; Bathyergidae
Description: lncRNA (ENSHGLG00000041189.1)
Source: RNAcentral